Sorghum bicolor (sorghum) is the source of this 843-nucleotide long non-coding RNA. RefSeq lists it as uncharacterized. Lineage: Eukaryota; Viridiplantae; Streptophyta; Magnoliopsida; Poales; Poaceae. The transcript has 2 exons. The record is from RefSeq and is a predicted model, not a curated record.
GUCGUCACGGCUCGCAAGUCGCAGGCCACACCCACACGGGCGUGCCACUGGGUCUCGUCUGGUGCAGGUCCAGUCCAGGUGGUCGUGUCGCCGCCUCCGCUCCCGCCCGUCGCCGCUCCGCGUGUCACUCGCCGCUUCUCGUCCCAUUCCACCCCGCCCCACGGCCCUUCUCCCUCCUCGCGCGUCGCGAUGAAAUAGGCGCAGGCUUGAGCGAGAGGACCCGCGCUGGACACCACCGCAUGCUCGAGAGGAGCGGCGACGGGAGGGGAGCCGAGGACGAUGGCGCUGGCCGUGUUGUUCCGCGGCGCGCAGCUGGCGCUGGAUCUGGCGGUGGCCGGGAUGUCGCUGGCGGUGGCGCUCGCCUUCUUCGCCCUCGUCACCACCGUGCUCUGCUCCGCGGCGUUCCUCCACCACUCCAAGCCCGCCGCCGCGGCGUCAUAGCCGCCACCGCCACCGCCACCACCGCGCCCGCAACCUCUGGGGAUGGUAUAAUACUGUUGCUGGUCUAAUUCCUCCACAUCAAUUGCAGAGAAGGAGGUGCUUUAAUCGUCUGCUUUAGAGCACUUGCAGAUGCAAAGAGUAGUCGAUUGCCCACAUCAGGUGAUAGCUAAGGCUCUUGUACCACAUGUGUAUGUUUCUUUAUGUUGGUUUGUAAACUAGAUAUUUGUACUUUGUACUAUAGUUUUUGUAAUCAGUCUCUUUCCAGAUUUACAUCUCAUAUCAAUAGUAUGUGCAUUGUUUAGUUCGUAUGUCUAACAGCCAAAAAUGAAAUCCUUGUGUCAGUUGAUUUACUGUGGAUGCUUCAUCAGCAAUAUAAUUUUCUCUCUUUCAUAGAGUUUAUUA